This 441-nucleotide ribosomal RNA is filed under the name uncultured bacterium. Its description in RNAcentral is "bacterial SSU rRNA". It matches the Rfam family "Bacterial small subunit ribosomal RNA", at positions 340 to 774 of the family's 1533-position model. The record is from RNAcentral.
UACGGAAGGCAGCAGUGGGGAAUAUUGCACAAUGGGCGCAAGCCUGAUGCAGCCAUGCCGCGUGUAUGAAGAAGGCCUUCGGGUUGUAAAGUACUUUCAGUCGUGAGGAAGGUGUUAAGGUUAAUAACCUUAGCAAUUGACGUUAGCGACAGAAGAAGCACCGGCUAACUCCGUGCCAGCAGCCGCGGUAAUACGGAGGGUGCGAGCGUUAAUCGGAAUUACUGGGCGUAAAGGGCACGCAGGCGGUUAAUUAAGUUGGAUGUGAAACUCCCCGGGCUUAACCUGGGAAUGGCAUUCAAGACUGGUUAGCUAGAGUCUUGUAGAGGGGGUAGAAUUCCAUGUGUAGCGGUGAAAUGCGUAGAGAUGUGGAGGAAUACCGGUGGCGAAGGCGGCCCCUGGGACAAGACUGACGCUCAUGUGCGAAAGCGUGGGGAGCAAACG